This 9794-nucleotide long non-coding RNA is filed under the name Fragaria vesca (wild strawberry). Its description in RNAcentral is "long non-coding RNA (FVES_LNC005389)". Lineage: Eukaryota; Viridiplantae; Streptophyta; Magnoliopsida; Rosales; Rosaceae. The record is from RNAcentral.
CCUAUGUGCGAAAAGAAGAUUAUUUGUAGUUGAAGAACUCAAAGACAAAACAUUCAAAUGAAGUUUACAUAAUGUUUACCUCUUCAAUUUUUUCUUUUGUUUUGAAAUGCGCUUACCCAGCCUAUGGUGCAAAUGAUAUUAGAAACUAAAAAUUCAAGCAUCGCACAACAUUGAAGAGAAAAAUAUAUAUCAAACAGAUUUAAAACCAUCUAUACCUGAAGAUAAAAUCACUGAUAUAAAACUUCCAUGUCCUAGUUCCAAACAAAAACAACUUCAACAAAAAUUGAUAGAAAUAAGCAAAAUUUAAAGAAGCUUCUCAUCAACUGGAAAACUGAAAAGAAGUAUGAACUACUGGUGUUAACUGAAUCAGCUCUUUCCUCUGUCCUCUCAACUCAUCUUCAAUUCCUCUCACUCAUCAUGAAAAGUAUACCUUACUUUAUAAAUUGUAAGUAAGUCUUAAUGUGACCGACUUGAUUCAUGUUGAAGUUAAACCCUUGUUUUAGAUAGAAAAUACAACAAAGGCCAAGGUUGUCAUAAGUUCAUCAAUAAACAGAAAACAUGAAUGUUCCAGAAUUAAAUAAAAAAAGUUGCAAGAAUAUAUCUGAAAAUAUACCUGCAGAGUUGCAAGGUUGUCAAUAACCUCCCUUUCAUGUCUCAAUUAACUUUCUUCUCUCUUUUUUCUCACCUCUUACCUGCACCAAUGAACUAUAUAAACAAACUUGAUAAAAAAAAUGUGGUUAUUCUAGAUGCUCAUUAAUCUGUUGAUCCAUUGAAUGAGGUUAUUGCCAGCCAAUGUCAACCCAUUUUUCCUCAAGUGGAGCUUAGAUUGCUCUAGUUUAAAGACAUAAAAUCAAUACACCUUAUAAUCUAAAGAGGAUCAUUUUUCCUAUCACUUCUCUAUUACUAUCGGAAGAUAUAACUCUUCUCUUUGUGAAAUUGCUCAAAGGGAUAAACUUUUAUAUUAUACUUUUGCUCAAUGGACUCAUGAUCUGGCAUUUUCUUCCUUGCUCAAUUGAUGUUCUUCAUGACAUAAAAUAGUAAUCAUGAUCAAUUAAAAGUGGAAGAACUCUCACACCAUGACAUUUAAGAGUUAUUAAGAAGAUCCCUCUAACACUCAUGGUUUCUCAAGGUCUUAGAGAGUAUAUAACUAUACAUGCCAUUUCAUAAUAUGGUUUUGAUCAAUAAGAGAGAAAUUUGAACAUGGAUGAUAAUUAGAAUCUUCAAGACACGUGAAUAUUGUACAUACAGACCAAACAAAAGGAUCACUUAGUUUUUGAAGCUUACCCUUGAAUACAGCACUUGGAAACCUUGUCCUCUUGUGAUAAACAAAAAUAAAAGGAUCAAUUACUUGAAGGUUUUACAACAGUUAAGGUCGAGUGCUAAAUGCUUAUUAAUUUGAAGAUGAUUAAAUAACUUCAUAGUGAGACCAAGAACUCAUCUUUUCUAAUUGCCUGCAUAUACAUUAUGUGUGAGGUGAUUGAAGAAUUGUUUAUCUGAAGGUUAAACGGUUCUGAGUAGUCGAGCUUGCUAGUAAUAAUAAACUUUAUCUCCCUUCUUCCUAUAUGUUGGAUGCCAAAACAUUUGUCCCAUAAAAAGGCCACAUAUCUAUCUGUUCAUCUAUACCUGCAUAAGAAUUUAAAGAACCUUCUCCUUCUAGAUAUUCUCUCUUCAGGUGACUAUCUGUGAAACACAUAGUUAUUGAUAAAUUAUCCAUAACACGGAAAACCAUUCAUAAGAGAACAGAAGCUGCAACAUUCCUGAAAAUAAAGAAGCAAUGAGUUGCAUCACAUUUGUUAACUAAUGUCCACCUUUUAAAUGUAGCAUUAUGAUCAACACCUUAAUAUCUUGCAUCAUAUUCCGAAGGGUACAAAUCAUUAUGAUGCAGAUUCUCAAUACAUAUGAGAAAACACAUAAAUUGCCAAUACAUGUUAUUAUGGAACAUUAAGUUCUAUCAGGAUAUUCAUAUUAUGUGAAUGACUUUCAGAGCUGGUUUGUUAAAACGACAGGCAAAGUUCUUUCUAUGUCUGUGAAAACUUUGGUUUCGGGAUAGAAGGUUAUGAUGAAAUGAAGUUGUGUUUUAAACUCGAAAUGUAAUGCUUAAAUUAGCUCAGAGUAUGUUUUAGAAGUAUAUACUGAAUUAAACUCAUCACAAUUACAAACCUACUGCCAAGCAAAAUAUGAUCACACUCAUUUGGCUUGCCAUGUGUGGGCAUGUCUGUAUUUACAUAGAUCAUUAGCCUUAUGAGUUUGUUCAUUUCUUUUUAUUUACUCUAUUAACUGAAGAUUGUUGUAAAUAGAUAUUAUUUAGUGGGCAUUCUUGUAAUUAACCGACUAGGGUUGUUAUUGUAAUUUACAUCAUGGUCUCAUCUCUAUAUAAGAGAUGGAUCCCUACUCAAUAAGAUAGACAUAUUCUCUUAUUCUCUUGGUUGUUUCUCUCCUUUCUCAAUCUAUUCUUUUUGUUUUACAACACGUUAUCAGCACGAAUAGUUCUAAUAUUAUCUUGUUUUCUAUUGCAUGUGAAGCUCUAAAAGCAAAGAAUGAUCUUUCAAUUUGAUUCAUCGAAUUCGCUCUACAUUGACAUGGAAAGCUUUGAAAUCGAUGAUCAACCAUAUGAGGAUCAUUAUCUAACCAAGUUAUUGGAUUGGCUGAGUAGCUCCACAAAUGACAUUCUCCGUUCUACACAUAAAAGAUGGAGAUUAUCCGUUCUGCAAUGAGUAACGUUUUCUUAUCUUAAUUCCAAUUCAUAUUUGCUAGCCUUGAUUAUAUGAUGAACAAAUCACCAUGAAGCAUGAACCCAUUGUCUUUGGUUGCAUUUUGAAAUCUAUAUACGAUGCAUGAAGACCUAAAUUUAUAUUCUUAAUUUAUUCAGAUGAUAAAUACGUAUGUGGUAUAUAAAUUUGUUCAUGUUUUGUGAUUGAAAUAGAAGACAUAAAAAUCUUCAGGGAGGCCAGUAGCCACCGAAAUAAGCCCAAUCGCAUGCCUAGUAGUGCAUACCAAAAAACGCAAGGAUGAACGAACUUCAGACCCACUAUCAUUCUCUGACAUUCGAACACAAGAGCUUGAAUGCAUUCUGGAAGUAAUGCAUGUAACCGGUAAUGUAGGACCAUUAAUGUUGUCAUUUAUAUCAACGGUUACAUAUAUGGAAUAUUUAUGCCUGAAGCAUUUAGUGAUACAAAUUAACAUUGCUCAUAAUGAGAUUUGAAUAAAAUCCAUUUAGAAAUGUAACGUCAUUUGUAUAUAUAAUGACGCGUAACACUGAUUAUGUUACUUAAUUGUGACUUAAUAUAUACGUUUUGUCAGUUACAGAUUUGAAUUGUGUCAAAUUCAAUGUCAUUUAAGGGCAUAUAAUGCCGGAAGCAUUUAAGGGCUUGUAUAAAGACGUUAUAACUGGAAGCAUUUAAGGGCAUGUAAUGCCGGAAGCAUUUACCAAGUUAUAACCCAUCUAUUAUGACACAAGCAUUAUGGGUCAAAUUAUUGUGCAAAUUACGAUAAAGACAUUAUGAGUUUAAUCUUCGGUUAUACCAAUUUAAAUUAUGUUAUUAUAAUCCAUUAUGCUAGAAGCAUGAAUUUUAGUAUAAUCCAUUAUGCUAGAAGCAUGAAUUUUAUUAUAAUCCAUUAUGCCAGAAGUAUUUAUCCAAUUUAAUACCUAUAUGUAAUGCUAGAAGCAUUAAUGAGAUUUGUACUCAUUGUCUUUGGUACAUACUUAACCACUGCAUAAAUGAUAUUUAUUUAGUAAUUUAUGCCAUAUAUUAAAUGUCGGUUAAUUUCCAAAUUCAAAUUGCGUCAGUUUUAUUUAAUCAAUUCUCAAUUAUGUUAUCAUUUAUAUGAAUUGUUAUGGGGAUGUAAUGACGCAUUUUGCCGGAAGCAAUUAAUGAUGCAAAUGAAUUUAUUUUGCACGUAACCACUACGGUGUUGACAUUUAUUGGUUUAGUAAAUACCAAUUGUAUUGCAUAUACAUUAUCUCAAUGAGAAUUAAAUUGAUUCCGUUAUAAUUUAAUUUAUUUCGGUUUCAUAUAAUUUCUUUCACAUUAAGUUUGUCUGUUACGAUUUAAUAAAAUAUAUUGCAUUGGUUUAUCUUAUAUUGGUGAAUAUUAAUGAUGUUAAGUUAGAAGCUUAAAUCAAGCCUGUAUAUGCACGAAAUUGAGCCAGAAGCUUGAUGCAAGCUACAAGGCUAGCACAGAAGCUCACCAUGUGUCGCCAUGAGUCUAUACAAUGAUUAUAAUUCUUCUCAAACUAGGCUCACCCAGUUGGAUGCGAUGUCUAGGCAAGUACUUUUGAGGAUGUAUACUUAAGUGAGCCUCGCUCCACCACCUCAUCAUGGCUUACAUGGUCGUAUACAAUUGGAGUUACUGAAAGGGUUGAAUAAUAACAUUGCAUUUCUUGGUAGACCAUUCUUAGCCCAGUAGGCCUACUCUCCCUCUACGGGACCUAAAAGCCCAACAUACCUCUCAGAAAUGCCCCGUAGGCUUGUAAAGUAUGUAGAGGCUAGGUUUAUUUAUUUCACUUUAAUUACAGUCAAUUCCUUUGGUCUAGCAGAAUCAAACAAAAGGAAAAUAAUCUAAUGACACUAGUUUUUCGUACCUAGCAAUUAUGUAUGUCUAUAAGACUCUCCAAAUAUUUUCUCAUAAUGGCUGUUGUUAAUAUAUUCACCAUAUUUAAUGUGUAGUUAAUUGCCAGAAGCAUUUACACAUAGUUACGUGACAUAGUCACUAUGCUAAAUUAGUAGCAUGGAAUUAAUAUCAUCAAUUGCUACAUGAUUAUAAUUUGAAAAUAUAUGUACCUAAUGAAUCGGUAGUUCAAAAAUGAACCGGUAGUUCAGAAAUGAACCAGUGGUUCAUGAAUAAAUCGAACAUGUAGUUUCGAUAAUUACCCCCUUAAGGAACUUGAAGUUUCAUUCUAAAAUUCACCAGAUAUGAUCACAUCGGUAGCUUUUAUCAUGUUAAUUGGUAGUCUCCAGAAGUAACUAUUUGAAGUAGACAUCUUCCUUACCUGAAGCAAAUCAUAAUUAGAGAAUAUUGAAAUGAAAAGGCUUAAUGCCCUAGAAUCUAAAUCAAAAUUGAUUUGUGUUAUCAAUAUUAAGGAACUGAGCAUUCUCGUUUGGCUGAUGAGGCAAAAUACCUCUAUGUUUCAAAAGAACGUUAUUGAAAGGUAAGUUCAUUGAAACCAAUGCUUAAACGUUGAAACCACAAGAAAAAUGGUGUAAUAUCUUUGCAUAACCUUUGAAUGUGCGGCCAAAAGCGUACAUUGAAUAUAUUCAAAUUUAUUAGCUAGUAGCUAAAUGAUUCGAGCAAAUACUAGCUAUAGUAUUGGAGUUUGAUGCACCCAGGAAAAACAUAUGGUGCACCGUAUCCUUAACUCAAUUAUCACACAGGCAUCCCCCUCAGAAUAAUGGUCUUCUCUUUAAUGACACAUUAUGUCAAGCUGCUCGUUAAGAAUGUUGAAUAGUAGACCAUCACAUGCAAAGACUAGAAUAUAUACUAUCUCUUUAUGCACAGAAUGCAAUGGAAAAUACGUGGAACUAUCCAACCACCAUACGGACCAGUUAAAUAUUAAUGGUUUUGGUUGAUGCAUUGACAAAAGUGAUCAGAUGUCACAUUAUUGUCCACAUGAAAAUGCUGCGUUUGCUAAACUCUUACCCAUGAAAUAGAGGGUACAUCACUCGGAUUAUCCCAUAAAGUCUAUAAGACUUGAUAAUGCCGGAGAGUUUACAUCGAAGGUUUUCGAUGAUUAUUACAUAUCCCUUGGGUUUUGUAAAACAUAUAGUUUCUUAUGUUCAAACCUAAGAUGGUCUCGCAUAUAGAACCUUGGUAAUGCGCACCAAGCUUCUACUGUUUGCGUCGGGCUAUGCAAUCUUGCAUGCAGCCAUAUCGGUCCAGUUGAGGCCCACUGCUACCAGUCUUACUUCGUGUUACAGUUGGUGACUGGGUGUGAACCUGAUGAUUUUGCACUUACACGCAUUUGGGUUUGCAGUCUCCGUGCCAAUUGUGUCACCACAACGUACAAAAUCGGGUCCUCAACAAAGGAUGGGCAUAUAUGUCGAUUAUGAACCCUAUCCAUUAUGUGCUCGUAAGAGCCCUUGACAGGAGAUCUCUAUACCGCUAGAUUUGCGGUCGUCACUUUGAUGAGACAGUUUUCCCGCCGUUAGGGGGAGAUAAGAAUGUGAGCAUUCCUGAUGAACGACGUGUAGAAUGUCUCAUCUUGAUCCCCAAACCGCACAUGUGAAAUUGAAGUGCGAAGAAUUCUACUUCUAGUUGAAGUGCAAAGAAUCCUAGAUCUACGUAGUGUAGCCCAUAAUAUGCUACACACUUCACUAGAUCUAGUUAAAGUGACAAGAUCAUAUAUACCUGCUGCAAACCUGCAAGGAUAAAUGUCCCCGUAGGACGUAUCGUUCUAGUUGGACGAGGUACGGCCAUGGCGGCUAACCAGUCAUAGUCCCUGCCCAGAAGCGAGGUAGACCAUUAGGUUCGAACGAUUCUUAUCCCUAGAAGAGGGUAAACUUGGCACAAAUGAAUCUUCUUGCCAUCGCAAUCUCAAACCAAUUCAACUCACGAGAUAAAUCCGGAUUAUGGGUUCGUCCUAGAAGAGACGAAUUUGGGGGACGCUCCAACAUUUAAACCCACUCCCGAGAAUAGAAAAUCUCGGUAAAUUUUGUGAGAUAUUGAAUCGGAAUGAGAAUUCAUCGAUGAUAUGUUUGUAUUUGCGGUGGCCACCAAAUUUAUAAUAAGCGAUGAUGUCGAACCUUACUCUGUUGAUAGAUCUCAACGAAGAGACGACUGGCUAAAAAGGAAAGAAACAAUCCAGGUCAAAUCAGAUUCCUUAACUAAGAGAAAGGUGUUAUGGGCCUGUUGUUCCCACAUCUACCCACGUUAAACCUAUAUUGUUUAGAUGGGUAUUUGUAAGGAAGCGUAAUGAGAAAAACGAGAUUGUGAUAUAAGUCUCGUUUAGUGGCGCAAGGAUUUUCUCAACGCCCUGCGAUUGAUUACGAGGAGAAGUAUUUUCCCGUAAUGGACGUCAUAACGUUCCACUACCUUAUCAGUUUGGUAGUUUCCAAAUAACUGAAUAAGCAGCCUAUGAAUGUGGUAAAUACUUAUCUCUAUGGGGAUUUGAAUAUAGAGAUAUACAUGAAGUUUCCUGAAGGACUUUUGUUACCCAAUGCAAAUAGUUCUAGACCACAGAACAUGCUCUCCAUUUGCUAGAGUAGUUCACUUUAGGGGUUCAAAGAAUCCAGACGGAGUUGGUAUAAUCGUCUAAGUGAAUAUUUGCUUGGGGUGGGAUAUAUGAACAAAUAGAUUAUGUCCAUGCGUGUUUUAAGGAAACAAAUUCCGGGUUUGUAAUUUGUGAUAAUUUAUGUCAAUGACAUGAAUUUGACUGAUACUCUUAAAGAGAUUAAGGAAACUGCAAAACACCUGAAAUCAGAGUUUGAGAUGAAUGUCUUUAGGAGACUAAAUAUUAUUUUGUCGACCUGAAGUCGUGCAAAGUGCAGAUGGAAUUUUGGUCAAUCAAUCAAAUUAAAUCUAGAAGAUGUUAAGAUACUUUGAUGAGGAUAAACCAAAGUAUUUAAGCACACCUAUAGUCGUCCGAGGUCUAAAGACACCCAUAUUAUCGUGCAGAUAAUAACGAAGAGAUAUUGAGGCCAGAAGACUCAUAUCUAAGUAUAAUAGGUGCAUUAUUGUACUUGGUUAAAUGGCCUUGACCGGACAUCUUAUCUGAUGUGAAUUUGUUAGCUAGAUAUAGCUUUGCGUCAACACGCCGCCUCCGUAAAUGGCAUAAAAGACAAUUUUCCGUUACUUUAAAUGUAUGACGGAAAAUGGCUCGUUCUAUCCCUAGGCAUUAUGGAAUGGAUCGACCGCCUAUGAUCCUUGGAAUGAUGUUUGCCUUGUUAAAUAUGCUAACACGGGUUAUGUAAACCCACACAAGGCUUAUUCCCAACUGGUUAUGUCUUUACUAUAGGGAAUACAAUAAUCUUAGAGGUAUAUGAAACAAAAACCUCUUUAAAUCAUGUUGACUAUUAAGUUAUUCAAGAAGCAUGAUCAAUGUAGUAGUUUUACCUAGUGUGUAGUUUUCAGGGGGAGUCAAUAUUAGGGGGAGUAUCCUGAAGCAUACUCUUGACCAUUGUGUACUAUUUUUGUCCUUCGUCCAGGGUUAUUUUGUCCCACUGGGUUUUGUUACCUGGCAAAGUUUUAAUGAGGCACACAUGUAAUUAGUCACCUUGCUCAUGCUGCAUCUUGAAGAUGCCUUUAUUUGAAAUAUAUGCAUUUGCUCAUCUUUUCCCUUCGACCACGGGUUUGUCCCACUGGGUUUACCGGGCAAGGUUUUGGUGUAGCAACUAUUAUGCAUCUAUCUCCCACAGACUCACAUCUUAUGAUCCAGACUAAACCGUUUGACCGAAAUCAAGGGUUCUGACUAUCAUUGCUACUUGUGUGUUGUACUCUUUUCUCCUUCGACCAGGAUUUUUUUUGUCCCAUAGGGUUUUUAUUACUUGGCAAGGUUUUGACGAGGCAACACCGAAGCACAUAUUAGAGGAAGCUAAUGACAGAGAAUACCCAAGGGGGAGUGUUGUAAAUAGAUAUUAUUUAGUGGGCAUUCUUGUAAUUAGCCGACUAGGGUUGUUAUUGUAAUUUACAUCAUGGUCUCAUCUCUAUAUAAGAGAUGGAUCCCUACUCAAUAAGAUAGACAUAUUCUCUCAUUCUCUUGGUUGUUUCUCUCCUUUCUCAAUCUAUUCUUUUUGUUUUACAACAAAGAUGACCUACAUGUAUUUGAAAUAUUUGAAUUGGAUAUCAAACUAAAUGAAAUUUGAGAGCAUUACACAUACCUUGAGAACUGACGAAUUGGAUAUCACCCCAAAGAAUCCAGAACCAAGAAUCAACAGUAGACACCGUAGUGACCACCAAACAGGACCUGAAAAAAGAUCACCAGAAGAAAACCUUAAUAUGUAAAAAGAUCAGAAAACACAGUAUCAAACUAUGGAAGUAACUAAUUAGUUAUCUAUUGCUACUAAAUGAAUGAAAGUCGGCCAGUCUUGCUUGUCUCGGCUUGCAACUCAGUUCCAACUAAAUCAUGUAAAUACCAUUAUAAUCAUACAUUCUAACAUUAACCGCCCCCUUUUGUCAGAUUAUAAUUUUGAUGCUACCAUUAUAUACAGUAAACCAAGAAGGAAAAAAAAGAAGAAAAAAUAACAUAAUAAUGCUGAUCUUUACACACACAUGCUACCAUUACCUCUUGUCUGAACAUCAAGGGUAAUGCUUGCACUACCGAGUCAAUUUAUUGAAGGCUCGUGAUGUGAAGGUGGAAACAAAGAACACAAACUUGCUCCAAUGCCAGCUGAAAUGUCCAACAAAAUAAGUGAAUUAUACAAGGGUAUCUGAGAAUUUGCAGGUUAAUUGAUAUUGAACAAAGGGGCUCCUUAGAGUUAGAAUGUAACUCAGUAAAUCAAUUCCAAACAUAGCAAAUUGGAACCUGAACUCUAUAACUAUCCUUUUACAACAAUUGAAAUACAAUAUGACCAUAAAGAAGUUUAGUAGUAUGUAUAUUGAGUCAUUCCCUUCAUCAGUUUUAAUCACUUAAUUACAUACAACAAAAUAGAACCCAUAGUAGUAGUACUAACCUGGACUCCUAUUCGCUUUUCAUCCCUCCUCUUUUUCCCAAAUCUAGACUUCUUGUUUUACCUCUAUGGAAUCCCAGAAAAUAAAACUUUGUAUUAGUCGUAAUUGAAGGAAAUUGAUGACAUGAAUGUCAAAGAGUAAACAAAUUUUAUAGACUUGCAAAUGCAAAACUCACCAUAUGUGCAAAAUAAA